GGGCUUGUAGCUCAGUUGGUUAGAGCGCACGCUUGAUAAGCGUGAGGUCGGAGGUUCAAGUCCUCCCAGGCCCACCA
This 77-nucleotide transfer RNA is filed under the name Alphaproteobacteria bacterium. RNAcentral's name for it is "tRNA-Ile". It matches the Rfam family "tRNA". From Rfam's summary of the family: Transfer RNA (tRNA) molecules are approximately 80 nucleotides in length. Their secondary structure includes four short double-helical elements and three loops (D, anti-codon, and T loops). Further hydrogen bonds mediate the characteristic L-shaped molecular structure. tRNAs have two regions of fundamental functional importance: the anti-codon, which is responsible for specific mRNA codon recognition, and the 3' end, to which the tRNAs corresponding amino acid is attached (by aminoacyl-tRNA synthetases). tRNAs cope with the degeneracy of the genetic code in two manners: having more than one tRNA (with a specific anti-codon) for a particular amino acid; and 'wobble' base-pairing, i.e. permitting non-standard base-pairing at the 3rd anti-codon position. The record is from RNAcentral. Lineage: Bacteria; Pseudomonadati; Pseudomonadota; Alphaproteobacteria.